UGCCAGGGAAAGGCUGUGUCCUGGAUGCUCCAUGAAAACUCAGGAGGAAAAACAGGUUCCAGAGACCUCCAAAGAAGGUGAGGAAGCUGCAUCCAUUGGCAGGACUGGACAACUGGGAAAAAGCAAAAGACCUGGUAAACCUUGAGAAGGGGACACACCAGGUGGAGUCUGGAAUAGAGGACUUUUUUUGCCACACUGGACAAAACCUGGAGACUGUGGUUUUUCUUCUAAACUGGAACCCUGAGAAAUUAUCAUCUGAGGCUGCACCCCAGCAUAUGCACAUUUGGCCUUCAUCACCAUAAAAAUGGGGGCAAAAAGUGAAAGGGGGUUAUUGUUGGGGAGAAAGGAUGCCCUGAACGAACUCCAGACAGAUUUAUGUGGACUCCACGCGCCCACUCCAGGCUAAAGAGAUCGAAACCACCGCGAACUACAAAUCCCGUAAUGUCAUCCUCAUGGAAGAGGAGGAUUGGUGGGAAUUGAGGGUGGAGUUCAGCAGUCGGGCCUGGUAUAAAACCUGACAGGUGGACCUGGGGCUUCUCUUGGCAUUUCUCCAGCUCUCCGUGUGCCAGUGGGAUUCCAACUCCGUGGAGCUAUUAGAACACGUUCACCAAUUUAUCUCCCUCUCCUUGAGUUCUUCAUUCCCCCUUCUUUUGUAAAUAAA
Talpa occidentalis (Iberian mole) is the source of this 661-nucleotide long non-coding RNA. RefSeq lists it as uncharacterized. The record is from RefSeq and is a predicted model, not a curated record. Lineage: Eukaryota; Metazoa; Chordata; Mammalia; Eulipotyphla; Talpidae. The transcript is spliced from 3 exons.